This 84-nucleotide transfer RNA is filed under the name Arcobacter acticola. RNAcentral's name for it is "Pseudoarcobacter acticola tRNA-Leu". It matches the Rfam family "tRNA". From Rfam's summary of the family: Transfer RNA (tRNA) molecules are approximately 80 nucleotides in length. The record is from RNAcentral. Lineage: Bacteria; Pseudomonadati; Campylobacterota; Epsilonproteobacteria; Campylobacterales; Arcobacteraceae.
GCCAGUGUGAUGGAAUGGUAGACUUGGUCGACUCAAAAUCGACUGCCGAAAGGCAUACCGGUUCGAGUCCGGUCACUGGUACCA